UAAGGAAUAUUGGGCAAUGGGCGGAAGCCUGACCCAGCCAUGCCGCGUGAAGGAAGGCGGCCUUAUGGGUUGUAAACUUCUUUUGACAGGGGAUAAAAGGUUCCAUGCGUGGGAUUUUGCAGGUACCUGUAGAAUAAGCAUCGGCUAACUCCGUGCCAGCAGCCGCGGUAAUACGGAGGAUGCGAGCGUUAUCCGGAUUUAUUGGGUUUAAAGGGUGCGCAGGCGGGCGAUUAAGUCAGCGGUGAAAUUUUCCGGCUCAACCGGGGCACUGCCGUUGAUACUGGUUGUCUUGAGUAUGAUAGAGGUGGGUGGAAUGUAGCGUGUAGCGGUGAAAUGCAUAGAUAUGCUACAGAACUCCGAUAGCCAAGGCAGCUCACCAAGUCAUAACUGACGCUCAUGCACGAAAGCGUGGGGAUCAAACA
Molecule: ribosomal RNA, 422 nt
Filed under: uncultured Bacteroidota bacterium
Lineage: Bacteria; Pseudomonadati; Bacteroidota
Description: bacterial SSU rRNA
Rfam family: Bacterial small subunit ribosomal RNA
Source: RNAcentral